This 69-nucleotide transfer RNA is filed under the name Marmota marmota marmota (Alpine marmot). It matches the Rfam family "tRNA". Rfam says of the family: Transfer RNA (tRNA) molecules are approximately 80 nucleotides in length. Their secondary structure includes four short double-helical elements and three loops (D, anti-codon, and T loops). Further hydrogen bonds mediate the characteristic L-shaped molecular structure. tRNAs have two regions of fundamental functional importance: the anti-codon, which is responsible for specific mRNA codon recognition, and the 3' end, to which the tRNAs corresponding amino acid is attached (by aminoacyl-tRNA synthetases). tRNAs cope with the degeneracy of the genetic code in two manners: having more than one tRNA (with a specific anti-codon) for a particular amino acid; and 'wobble' base-pairing, i.e. permitting non-standard base-pairing at the 3rd anti-codon position. Lineage: Eukaryota; Metazoa; Chordata; Mammalia; Rodentia; Sciuridae. RNAcentral also lists the same sequence under 1 other name. The record is from Rfam by way of RNAcentral.
GGAGCUGUGGCUCAGUGGUAAAGCAUUCACCUAGCAUGUGUGAGGGGCUGGGUUCGAUCCUCAGCACCA